RNAcentral lists this ribosomal RNA (645 nucleotides) under uncultured bacterium. RNAcentral describes it as "bacterial SSU rRNA". It matches the Rfam family "Bacterial small subunit ribosomal RNA", at positions 32 to 671 of the family's 1533-position model. The record is from RNAcentral.
AACGCUGGCGGCAGGCUUAACACAUGCAAGUCGAGCGGGGAGAUGUAGCUUGCUACAUUUCCUAGCGGCGGACGGGUGAGUAAUGCUUAGGAAUCUGCCUAUUAGUGGGGGGCAACAUUCCGAAAGGAAUGCUAAUACCGCAUACGCCCUACGGGGGAAAGCAGGGGAUCUUCGGACCUUGCGCUAAUAGAUGAGCCUAAGUCAGAUUAGCUAGUUGGUGGGGUAAAGGCCUACCAAGGCGACGAUCUGUAGCGGGUCUGAGAGGAUGAUCCGCCACACUGGGACUGAGACACGGCCCAGACUCCUACGGGAGGCAGCAGUGGGGAAUAUUGGACAAUGGGCGAAAGCCUGAUCCAGCCAUGCCGCGUGUGUGAAGAAGGCCUUUUGGUUGUAAAGCACUUUAAGCGAGGAGGAGGCUACUUAGAUUAAUACUCUAGGAUAGUGGACGUUACUCGCAGAAUAAGCACCGGCUAACUCUGUGCCAGCAGCCGCGGUAAUACAGAGGGUGCGAGCGUUAAUCGGAUUUACUGGGCGUAAAGCGUGCGUAGGCGGCUUUUUAAGUCGGAUGUGAAAUCCCUGAGCUUAACUUAGGAAUUGCAUUCGAUACUGGGAAGCUAGAGUAUGGGAGAGGAUGGUAGAAUUCCA